GUGCAUUGUAGUUGCAUUGCAC
RNAcentral lists this microRNA (22 nucleotides) under Daphnia pulex (common water flea). RNAcentral describes it as "dpu-miR-33". Its record names the gene dpu-miR-33. The record is from miRBase by way of RNAcentral. Lineage: Eukaryota; Metazoa; Arthropoda; Branchiopoda; Diplostraca; Daphniidae. RNAcentral also lists the same sequence under 2 other names.